This 492-nucleotide ribosomal RNA is filed under the name uncultured bacterium. Its description in RNAcentral is "partial 16S ribosomal RNA". It matches the Rfam family "Bacterial small subunit ribosomal RNA", at positions 29 to 507 of the family's 1533-position model. The record is from RNAcentral.
AGUGAACGCUGGCGGUAGGCCUAACACAUGCAAGUCGAACGGCAGCACAGUAAGAGCUUGCUCUUACGGGUGGCGAGUGGCGGACGAGUGAGGAAUACAUCGGAAUCUACUUUUUCGUGGGGGAUAACGUAGGGAAACUUACGCUAAUACCGCAUACGACCUACGGGUGAAAGCAGGGGAUCUUCGGACCUUGCGCGAUCGAAUGAGCCGAUGUCGGAUUAGCUAGUUGGCGGGGUAAAGGCCCACCAAGGCGACGAUCCGUAGCUGGUCUGAGAGGAUGAUCAGCCACACUGGAACUGAGACACGGUCCAGACUCCUACGGGAGGCAGCAGUGGGGAAUAUUGGACAAUGGGCGCAAGCCUGAUCCAGCCAUACCGCGUGGGUGAAGAAGGCCUUCGGGUUGUAAAGCCCUUUUGUUGGGAAAGAAAAGCAGCAGGUUAAUACCCCGCUGUUCUGACGGUACCCAAAGAAUAAGCACCGGCUAACUUCGUG